Molecule: transfer RNA, 72 nt
Filed under: Lachnospiraceae bacterium
Lineage: Bacteria; Bacillati; Bacillota; Clostridia; Lachnospirales; Lachnospiraceae
Description: tRNA-Cys
Rfam family: tRNA
About the family: Transfer RNA (tRNA) molecules are approximately 80 nucleotides in length.
Source: RNAcentral
GUUCCCGUGGUCUAACGGUUAGGAUAAAGGUCUGCAAAACCUUGGGUAUGGGUUCGAAUCCCAUCAGGAACU